AUCUACAGCCAUGCUACCCUGAACAAGCCCGAUCCCAUCUGAUCUCGGAAGCUAAGCAGGGUUGGGCCUGGUUAAUACUUGGAUGGGAGACCACCUAGGAAGACCAGGUGCUGUAGGCG
This 119-nucleotide ribosomal RNA is filed under the name Pteropus alecto (black flying fox). RNAcentral also lists the same sequence under 1 other name. Lineage: Eukaryota; Metazoa; Chordata; Mammalia; Chiroptera; Pteropodidae. The record is from RNAcentral.